Molecule: small RNA, 41 nt
Filed under: Plasmodium falciparum 3D7
Lineage: Eukaryota; Apicomplexa; Aconoidasida; Haemosporida; Plasmodiidae
Description: Pfa-starR6892
Source: RNAcentral
ACUACCACAUAGUUGGUGACCCACAAUUUUGAUUGAGAUGU